AACCUCCGCAAUGCGAGAAAUCGCGACGGGGGGACCCCAAGUGCCACUCUUAACGGGGUGGCUUUUCUUAAGUGUAAAAAGCUUUUGGAAUAAGGGCUGGGCAAGACCGGUGCCAGCCGCCGCGGUAACACCGGCAGCUCUAGUGGUAGCCAUUUUUAUUGGGCCUAAAGCGUUCGUAGCCGGUUUGAUAAGUCUCUGGUGAAAUCCUGUAGCUUAACUGUGGGAAUUGCUGGAGAUACUAUUAGACUUGAGGUCGGGAGAGGUUAGCGGUACUCCCAGGGUAGGGGUGAAAUCCUGUAAUCCUGGGAGGACCACCUGUGGCGAAGGCGGCUAACUGGAACGAACCUGACGGUGAGGGACGAAAGCCAGGGGCGCGAACCGGAUUAGAUACCCGGGUAGUCCUGGCCGUAAACGAUGUGGACUUGGUGUUGGGAUGGCUUCGAGCUGUUUCAGUGCCGAAGGGAAGCUGUUAAGUCCACCGCCUGGGAAGUACGGUCGCAAGACUAAAACUUAAAGGAAGU
RNAcentral lists this ribosomal RNA (521 nucleotides) under uncultured bacterium. RNAcentral's name for it is "bacterial SSU rRNA". It matches the Rfam family "Archaeal small subunit ribosomal RNA", at positions 345 to 866 of the family's 1478-position model. The record is from RNAcentral.